RNAcentral lists this ribosomal RNA (446 nucleotides) under uncultured bacterium. Its description in RNAcentral is "partial 16S ribosomal RNA". It matches the Rfam family "Bacterial small subunit ribosomal RNA", at positions 338 to 795 of the family's 1533-position model. The record is from RNAcentral.
CCUACGGGAGGCAGCAGUCGAGAAUCAUUCACAAUGGGGGAAACCCUGAUGGUGCGACGCCGCGUGGGGGAAUGAAGGUCUUCGGAUUGUAAACCCCUGUCAUGUGGGAGCAAAUUAAAAAGAUAGUACCACAAGAGGAAGAGACGGCUAACUCUGUGCCAGCAGCCGCGGUAAUACAGAGGUCUCAAGCGUUGUUCGGAAUCACUGGGCGUAAAGCGUGCGUAGGCUGUUUCGUAAGUCGUGUGUGAAAGGCGCGGGCUCAACCCGCGGACGGCACAUGAUACUGCGAGACUAGAGUAAUGGAGGGGGAACCGGAAUGCUCGGUGUAGCAGUGAAAUGCGGAGAUAUCGAGAGGAACACUCGUGGCGAAGGCGGGUUCCUGGACAUUAACUGACGCUGAGGCACGAAGGCCAGGGGAGCGAAAGGGAUUAGAUACCCUGGUAGUC